RNAcentral lists this ribosomal RNA (1276 nucleotides) under Paenibacillus polymyxa. Its description in RNAcentral is "bacterial LSU rRNA". It matches the Rfam family "Bacterial large subunit ribosomal RNA", at positions 1647 to 2925 of the family's 2925-position model. The record is from RNAcentral. Lineage: Bacteria; Bacillati; Bacillota; Bacilli; Caryophanales; Paenibacillaceae.
CCGCAAACCGACACAGGUAGGCGAGAAGAGAAUUCUAAGGCGCGCGGAAGAACUCUCGUUAAGGAACUCGGCAAAAUGACCCCGUAACUUCGGGAGAAGGGGUGCCUCGGUAGGGUGAAUAGCCCGAGGGGCCGCAGUGAAAAGGCCCAAGCGACUGUUUAGCAAAAACACAGGUCUGUGCGAAGCCGCAAGGCGAAGUAUACGGGCUGACGCCUGCCCGGUGCUGGAAGGUUAAGGGGAGUGGUAAGCUCGUAAGAGCGAAGCUAUGAACCGAAGCCCCAGUAAACGGCGGCCGUAACUAUAACGGUCCUAAGGUAGCGAAAUUCCUUGUCAGGUAAAUUCUGACCCGCACGAAUGGCGUAACGACUUGGGCGCUGUCUCAACGAGAGAUCCGGUGAAAUUUUAAUACCUGUGAAGAUGCAGGUUACCCGCGACAAGACGGAAAGACCCCAUGGAGCUUUACUGCAGCUUGAUAUUGAAUUUGGGUACGAUCUGUACAGGAUAGGUGGGAGCCGUAGAACUUUGAGCGCCAGCUUGAAGGGAGGCAUCCUUGGGAUACCACCCUGAUCGUAUCUAGGUUCUAACUUGGUGCCGUGAUCCGGUACGAGGACAGUGUCAGGUGGGCAGUUUGACUGGGGCGGUCGCCUCCUAAAGAGUAACGGAGGCGCCCCAAGGUUCCCUCAGAAUGGUUGGAAAUCAUUCGAAGAGUGCAAAGGCAGAAGGGAGCUUGACUGCGAGACCUACAAGUCGAGCAGGGACGAAAGUCGGGCUUAGUGAUCCGGUGGUACCGCAUGGAAGGGCCAUCGCUCAACGGAUAAAAGCUACCCUGGGGAUAACAGGCUUAUCUCCCCCAAGAGUCCACAUCGACGGGGAGGUUUGGCACCUCGAUGUCGGCUCAUCGCAUCCUGGGGCUGAAGUAGGUCCCAAGGGUUGGGCUGUUCGCCCAUUAAAGCGGUACGCGAGCUGGGUUCAGAACGUCGUGAGACAGUUCGGUCCCUAUCUGUCGUGGGCGUAGGAAAUUUGAGAGGAGCUGUCCUUAGUACGAGAGGACCGGGAUGGACGUACCGCUGGUGUACCAGUUGUUCCGCCAGGAGCACCGCUGGGUAGCUAUGUACGGAAGGGAUAAGCGCUGAAAGCAUCUAAGCGUGAAGCCCCCCUCAAGAUGAGAUUUCCCAAUUAGUAAGACCCCUUGAAGACGACGAGGUAGAUAGGUUGGGGGUGGAAGUGCAGUAAUGCAUGGAGCUGACCAAUACUAAUCGGUCGAGGGCUUAUCCUA